This 363-nucleotide unclassified non-coding RNA is filed under the name uncultured bacterium. RNAcentral's name for it is "contains 16S-23S intergenic spacer region". The record is from RNAcentral.
UCCCCGUUACCGGGGCAGUCUGAAUAGAAAAAUCCAACUAUUCAUAAGGGUUGCGCUCGUUGAUGGACUUAACCAAACAUCUCACGACACGAGCUGAAGACGGCCAUGCAACACCUGUCACUUGGUUCCCGAAGGCACUCACUGCUUUCGCAGUAAUUCCAAGGAUGUCAAGCCCUGGUAAGGUUCUUCGCUUAGCCUCGAAUUAAACAACACGCUCCACCGCUUGUGCAGCUCCCCGUCUAUUCCUUUGAGUUUUAAUCUUGCGACCGUACUCCCCAGGCGGGAUGCUUAACGCGUUAGCUUCGUUACUGACCGGGUCGAUACGGCCAACAACUAGCAUCCAUAGUUUACGGCGUGGACUAC